GUGCUCACUUUGGCAGCACAUAUACUAAAACUGGAACAAUACAGAGAAGAUUAGCAUGGCCCCUGCGCAAGGAGCACACGCAAAUUCGUUAAGCGUUCCACCUCAUA
RNAcentral lists this small nuclear RNA (107 nucleotides) under Suricata suricatta (meerkat). The record is from RNAcentral. Lineage: Eukaryota; Metazoa; Chordata; Mammalia; Carnivora; Herpestidae.